UGGCGGACGGGUGAGUAACGCGUGAGAAUCUGCCUAUAGGUUGGGGACAACAGAUGGAAACGUCUGCUAAUACCCAAUGUGCCGAGAGGUAAAAGCUUUAGUGCCUGUAGAUGAGCUCGCGUCCGAUUAGCUAGUUGGUUAGGUAAAAGCUGACCAAGGCGACGAUCGGUAGCUGGUCUGAGAGGAUGAUCAGCCACACUGGGACUGAGACACGGCCCAGACUCCUACGGGAGGCAGCAGUGGGGAAUUUUCCGCAAUGGGCGAAAGCCUGACGGAGCAAUACCGCGUGCGGGACGAAGGCUUUUGGGUCGUAAACCGCUUUUGUUAGGGAAGAAUAAAUGACGGUACCUAACGAAUCAGCAUCGGCUAACUCCGUGCCAGCAGCCGCGGUAAUACGGGGGAUGCAAGCGUUAUCCGGAAUUAUUGGGCGUAAAGCGUCCGCAGGUGGUUUAUCAAGUCUGCUGUCAAAGCGUGGGGCUUAACCCCAUAAAGGCAGUGGAAACUGAGAGACUAGAGUACGGUAGGGGUAGCGGGAAUUCCCAGUGUAGCGGUGAAAUGCGUAGAUAUUGGGAAGAACACCAGCGGCGAAGGCGCGCUACUGGGCCGAAACUGACACUCAUGGACGAAAGCUAGGGGAGCGAAAGGGAUUAGAUACCCCUGUAGUCCUAGCUGUAAACGAUGACAACUAGGUGUUGCGCGUAUCGACCCGUGCAGUGCCGUAGCUAACGCGUUAAGUUGUCCGCCUGGGGAGUACGCACGCAAGUGUGAAACUCAAAGGAAUUGACGGGGGCCCGCACAAGCGGUGGAGUAUGUGGUUUAAUUCGAUGCAACGCGAAGAACCUUACCAGGGCUUGAC
This 856-nucleotide ribosomal RNA is filed under the name uncultured bacterium. Its description in RNAcentral is "bacterial SSU rRNA". It matches the Rfam family "Bacterial small subunit ribosomal RNA", at positions 96 to 985 of the family's 1533-position model. The record is from RNAcentral.